Molecule: non-coding RNA, 81 nt
Organism: Arthromyces matolae
Lineage: Eukaryota; Fungi; Basidiomycota; Agaricomycetes; Agaricales; Lyophyllaceae
Source: the annotation of a GenBank genome assembly
GGCGGGCUGGCGAAAUGGCAUCGCGUCAGUUUCCGGUUCAUGUCCAGCUGAAGAUUGCGGGUUCGAGUCCCGCGCCUGUCG